UUUUUUUUUUUGGCCUCCAGGCAUGUAGGAUCUUGGCUCCCCAACCAGGGAUCGAACCUGUACCCACUGCAUUGAAAGGGGGAAGUCUUGACCAUUGGACAUCCAGGGAAGCCCCAGAGAUCCCUGUCCCGUCACUUUCCUGACAGAGGUGCUGUGACAGGCUGCCUUCUCAGAAGUCCAAGAAGAAGCUCAGACUGCUGUUCCUUCUCUCUCAGGUCCAGGGGUCUCCCUGGUAAUGGAUUGCUUCUCUCUGAGGUACAUUUUUUGCCCACAGUUUUUGAGACCACCCAGAUCUAGUCUGUGAACUCAGC
Molecule: long non-coding RNA, 311 nt
Filed under: Bos mutus (wild yak)
Lineage: Eukaryota; Metazoa; Chordata; Mammalia; Artiodactyla; Bovidae
Description: lncRNA (ENSBMUG00000018754.1)
Source: RNAcentral